This 67-nucleotide transfer RNA is filed under the name Trichuris discolor. RNAcentral's name for it is "tRNA-Arg". The record is from RNAcentral. Lineage: Eukaryota; Metazoa; Nematoda; Enoplea; Trichinellida; Trichuridae.
UUAGCAAAUACUGGGAGUCCCCUAAUACUUAAGUCGAAAUUAAGCUUGAGUAGUUCAAUUAGUAUUC